UUUUUUAGUUAUCUAAGACAGUUGUGGUUGCUGCGAGUUUAAUGAGAAUAAGGAGGUAAAAGAGCACUUGUGUCGUUCCAAGAAGCAGCCGGCACCCAGGUAACAAUGUUCAAAAAUAAUAAAUUUAGAAUAAUUUGAAAUAUAUCAUUUUCCGGUUCAAAUCGUUGAAACUUUCUAGAUCAUUUUUGUUCUGUCAUUGGAAACCUUCGCACCAUAAAACGGGUAAAACAACAUGCUUAUUGAGCUCAUCAACCAAUUUUUCUUGGGUUUUUAACAAGCUGAAUGCUAUAACAAGAAUUCAAAAUUUAAAAACAAAUGGAAUUUUUCUUUAAACAACCUGUCAAGUUGGCCUAUUUUUAUUUUUAUUUUGAUUAUAUAAUACAUAUAG
Molecule: non-coding RNA, 388 nt
Organism: Schizosaccharomyces pombe (fission yeast)
Lineage: Eukaryota; Fungi; Ascomycota; Schizosaccharomycetes; Schizosaccharomycetales; Schizosaccharomycetaceae
Source: the annotation of a GenBank genome assembly